This 448-nucleotide ribosomal RNA is filed under the name uncultured bacterium. Its description in RNAcentral is "bacterial SSU rRNA". It matches the Rfam family "Bacterial small subunit ribosomal RNA", at positions 355 to 825 of the family's 1533-position model. The record is from RNAcentral.
UGGGGAAUAUUGGACAAUGGGCGAAAGCCUGAUCCAGCCAUGCCGCGUGAGUGACGAAGGCCUUAGGGUUGUAAAACUCUUUCGUCGGGGACGAUAAUGACGGUACCCGAAGAAGAAGCUCCGGCUAACUUCGUGCCAGCAGCCGCGGUAAUACGAAGGGGGCUAGCGUUGUUCGGAAUUACUGGGCGUAAAGCGCGCGUAGGCGGCUUUGCAAGCCAGAGGUGAAAUGCCUGAGCUCAACUUGGGAAUUGCCUUUGGGACUGCGAGGCUUCGAGGACUGGAGAGGUGAGUGGAAUUCCCAGUGUAGAGGUGAAAUUCGUAGAUAUUGGGAAGAACACCAGUGGCGAAGGCGGCUCACUGGCCAGUUUCUGACGCUAAAGUGCGAAAGCGUGGGGAUCAAACAGGAUUAGAUACCCAAGUAGUCCCUGAGCGGGCUGGCAAGGCGCAU